GACGAACGCUGGCGGCGGGCUUAACACAUGCAAGUCGGACGCUCCGGUUUUGGCCGGGGCGUGGCGCACGGGUGCGUAACACGUAGGUAACCUGCCCUCGAGUGGGGAAUAACCCCGGGAAACCGGGGCUAAUACCGCAUACAGACUGGGAGCUGCAUGGCUCUCAGUUGAAAGCCGUGCACCGGUGACGGUGCGGGCGCUCGGGGAUGGGCCUGCGGCGGAUUAGGUAGUUGGUGGGGUAAGGGCCUACCAAGCCUGCGAUCCGUAGCUGGUCUGAGAGGAUGAUCAGCCACACUGGCACUGAGACACGGGCCAGACUCCUACGGGAGGCAGCAGUGAGGAAUUUUGCGCAAUGGAGGCAACUCUGACGCAGCCACGCCGCGUGCAGGAGGACGCCCCUACGGGGUGUAAACUGCUUUUCUGCGAGAAGAAGGCCUUGCUUUGGGCAGGGUGUGACGGUAUCGCAGGAAUAAGCACCGGCUAACUCCGUGCCAGCAGCCGCGGUAAUACGGAGGGUGCAAGCGUUGUCCGGAAUUAUUGGGUGUAAAGGGUGUGCAGGCGGGGCGGUAAGUCAGGGGUGAAAGUCUACGGCUCAACCGUAGGAUGGCCUUUGAUACUGUCGUCCUUGAGUCCCGGAGAGGCCAUUAGAAUUCGUGGUGUAGCGGUGAAAUGCGUAGAUAUCACGAGGAAUACCGGAAGCGUAGGCGGAUGGCUGGACGGCGACUGACGCUCAGGCACGAAAGCGUGGGGAGCGAACAGGAUUAGAUACCCUGGUAGUCCACGCUGUAAACGAUGGAUGCUCGGUGUUCGACUCCGUUAGCGGGUUGAGUGCCCAAGUUAACGCGAUAAGCAUCCCACCUGGGGAGUACGCUCGCAAGAGUGA
Molecule: ribosomal RNA, 883 nt
Filed under: uncultured bacterium
Lineage: Bacteria
Description: bacterial SSU rRNA
Rfam family: Bacterial small subunit ribosomal RNA
Source: RNAcentral